UGUAAACCAACUGCAUAAACUUAUGCAACUAUUGCUGACUGGAUUAAUUCACUUUAGAGUAAAUGUGAACAACUGUUUUUAGAAUUGUUUCCCAUUUGAUAAAUACACUGGAAAUUUUACCCAAGAGACCAAAUGAAGCUUUACAUUCCAAAACUUUAAUGUCAAUUAAGCAGCCUUUUCACUUGAUAUAAACUCACAUACCCAGGAACACUGUGGGCUCAGAACAUUAUUUCACAAGCAGGUAUUGCUGGCACGUUGUUUGUGUCACGUUUAGAUUCCGAUUAAAUGACAUCAUUUUGUUCCUCAGAUCCUGACAUACACAAUGAAAGUAUUUGAAAGUUACAUAACCAGUUGCACUUAAUGAGUCAUCCUUUGUCAAUAUUAGAAUGAGGGAACCAGGAUAUGACUAGGAAGAGACUCAAGGGGUAAAAUCUGAAGAUUCUGUCCCAUACCUCUGCAGAAUCAUGGACCCCCACAGAGGACUUAGGGGAGGGGCUCAGAAGCAAAGGGCUGUUUUGAAAAUAGUUUGAUUUUGACACAAUGAUUUGCAGACAAGCCCAGCCACCGUGGAGAAAAGAUAGAGAAUGAAGAAGUUCCAAAUGGCUAAGAUGAACAUGAACUUCUAAACAGAAUGAAAGCUCUAGGAUUAUGUCCACUUUAAGAAGUCUGCUGGUGAUAUCUGGCUUUAGAGGCAGGUAAUGUCUUUUGACACCCUUUCUUCAAAGAAAGGGGUAAGGGAAAACAAGACCAAAAAAAAAAAAAAACACCUUCUCAGAUAUGUGGCAUAAAGAAUUUCUUAAUCCAGGACGUUAUUCCUCUACUAAAAUAAAAACUGACUAAACAAUUAGGACUUCUUACUGAAAAAUGUAGGCAAAGUGGUCAUCUAUCACAGUGCCCACCAGGAUGAAGUUUGUAGCAAAACUCAAGGCUACCACAAAGUAGUGCUACUGCAGCACAGACUGAACAAGGAGAUCCUAGAGUAAGAUACCAGAUUAGUGCUUAAACCCUCAAGAGAAAACCGUCAGUCUGGAUCAAGAGAAAAGUUCAUCCAAACAAACCUACUUUUCAGACAAGCACAUAUAUAUGAUCUAUGGCACAUACCAAAAUGAAGAAAAUAGCAGUUACAGUGGCCAAUGUAGAACACAUUCUUCAACUUACCUUUUUUUUUUUUUUCUGAGACAGAGUCUCGCUGUCACCCAGGCUGGAGUGCAGUGGCACAAUCUCAGCUCGCUGCAACCUCCACCUCCCGGGUUCAAGCGAU
RNAcentral lists this long non-coding RNA (1261 nucleotides) under Homo sapiens (human). RNAcentral describes it as "HSALNT0005060". The record is from RNAcentral. Lineage: Eukaryota; Metazoa; Chordata; Mammalia; Primates; Hominidae.